Ricinus communis (castor bean) is the source of this 107-nucleotide non-coding RNA. The record is from Rfam. NCBI's taxonomy places the organism in Eukaryota, Viridiplantae, Streptophyta, Magnoliopsida, Malpighiales, Euphorbiaceae.
UAUCCAUGGUGUGGACAUUGUAAUAAAAGUGACUUGAAGUGAUCACAUGCUUCAUGAAAGGAUUCAAUAUCAUUUUGAUAAAAGUUGAAAAUUUCAGCCCUUAGUUA